This 444-nucleotide ribosomal RNA is filed under the name uncultured bacterium. RNAcentral's name for it is "partial 16S ribosomal RNA". It matches the Rfam family "Bacterial small subunit ribosomal RNA", at positions 354 to 795 of the family's 1533-position model. The record is from RNAcentral.
GUAGGGAAUAUUGGGCAAUGGAUGCAAGUCUGACCCAGCCAUCCCGCGUGCCGGAAGAAGGCCCUCAGGGUUGUAAACGGCUUUUGACGGUGAAGAAUCGACAGGAUGCGUCCUGUUUUGACGGUAGCCGUUGAAUAAGCACCGGCUAACUCCGUGCCAGCAGCCGCGGUAAUACGGAGGGUGCGAGCGUUGUCCGGAUUUAUUGGGUUUAAAGGGUGCGUAGGCUGGAAGGUCAGUCAGCGGUGAAAAGCUGUCGCUUAACGAUAGUCUUGCCGCAGAUACUUCCUUUCUUGGAUGAGGAGGAGGCCACUGGAACGGAUGGUGUAGCGGUGAAAUGCAUAGAUAUCAUCCAGAACACCGAUUGCGAAGGCAGGUGGCUGUACCUUAAUCGACGCUGAUGCACGAAAGCAUGGGGAGCAAACAGGAUUAGAAACCCGUGUAGUC